CAAUAGCGUAUAUUAACGUUGUUGCAGUUAAAAAGCUCGUAGUUGAAUUUUUGCUUGCCGCCGAUGUCGGAACUUCCGUACGUUCGGCGGCGUGCAUCCUUGGGUGGAACCUGUGUGGCAUUAGGUUGUCGUGCAGGGGAUGCUCAUCGUUUACUGUGAAAAAAUUAGAGUGUUCAAAGCAGGCUUACGCCGUUGAAUAUAUUAGCAUGGAAUAAUAAGAUAGGACCUUGGUACUAUUUUGUUGGUUUGCGCACCGAGGUAAUGAUUAACAGGGACAGUUGGGGGUAUUCGUAUUCCAUUGUCAGAGGUGAAAUUCUUGGAUUUCUGGAAGACGAACUACUGCGAAAGCAUUUACCAAGGAUGUUUUCAUUA
This 372-nucleotide ribosomal RNA is filed under the name uncultured eukaryote. Its description in RNAcentral is "partial 18S ribosomal RNA". It matches the Rfam family "Eukaryotic small subunit ribosomal RNA", at positions 592 to 975 of the family's 1831-position model. The record is from RNAcentral.